GGGGUAAAGGGGGACGGAGGCACGUGGGAGGGUUGAACGAAUUCGCCCUUACCCGCUGGACUUAAGCAUAUCAAUAAGCGGAGGAAAAGAAACUAACAAGGAUUCCCCUAGUAACUGCGAGUGGACCGGAGAAAAGCUCAAAUUUUGAAUCUGGCGGUCUUCAUGCCGUCCGAGUUGGAAUCUAGAGAAGCGUCUUCCGCGCUGGACCGUGUAUAAGUUUCCUGGAAUGGAACGUCCUAGAGGGUGAGAAUCCCGUCUUUGACACGGACUGCCAGGGCUAUGUGAUGCGCUCUCGACGAGUCGAGGUGUUUGGGAAUGCAGCUCACAUAGGGUGGUAAAUUCCAUCUAAAGCUAAAUACAGGCGAGAGACCGAUAGCGAACAAGUACCGUGAGGGAAAGAUGAAAAGAACUUUGGAAAGAGAGUUAAUCAGCACGAGAUAUUGCUGAAAGGGAAACUCUUGAUGUUAGUCGCGUCGUCCGGGGAUCAGCCUUGCUCUUCUGCUCGGUGUAUUUCCUGCUCGGCGGGUCAGCAUCGGUCUUGACCGUCGGAAAAUGACUCGAGGAAUGUCGACUCCCUUCGGGGUCUGUUAUAGUCUCGGGUCGAAUCCGGCGAUUGGGACCGAGGAACUCAGCACGACCUUAGGGUUCGUGGCUUCGCCGCACGCUAUGACGUGCUUAGGAUGCUGGUAUAAUGUCCUUAAGCGACCCGUCUAGAAACACGG
RNAcentral lists this ribosomal RNA (722 nucleotides) under uncultured fungus. Its description in RNAcentral is "eukaryotic LSU rRNA". It matches the Rfam family "Eukaryotic large subunit ribosomal RNA", at positions 1 to 664 of the family's 3401-position model. Lineage: Eukaryota; Fungi. The record is from RNAcentral.